GUGUCGUGAGAUGUUGGGUUAAGUCCCGUAACGAGCGCAGCCCUUGUCCUUAGUUACCAGCACGUUAUGGUGGGCACUCUAAGGAGACUGCCGGUGACAAACCGGAGGAAGGUGGGGAUGACGUCAAGUCAUCAUGGCCCUUACGGCCUGGGCUACACACGUGCUACAAUGGUCGGUACAAAGGGUUGCCAAGCCGCGAGGUGGAGCUAAUCCCAUAAAACCGAUCGUAGUCCGGAUCGCAGUCUGCAACUCGACUGCGUGAAGUCGGAAUCGCUAGUAAUCGUGAAUCAGAAUGUCACGGUGAAUACGUUCCCGGGCCUU
RNAcentral lists this ribosomal RNA (321 nucleotides) under uncultured Pseudomonas sp. RNAcentral's name for it is "bacterial SSU rRNA". It matches the Rfam family "Bacterial small subunit ribosomal RNA", at positions 1062 to 1382 of the family's 1533-position model. The record is from RNAcentral. Lineage: Bacteria; Pseudomonadati; Pseudomonadota; Gammaproteobacteria; Pseudomonadales; Pseudomonadaceae.